This is a long non-coding RNA of Felis catus (domestic cat), 2176 nucleotides long. RefSeq lists it as uncharacterized. Lineage: Eukaryota; Metazoa; Chordata; Mammalia; Carnivora; Felidae. The transcript has 4 exons. The record is from RefSeq and is a predicted model, not a curated record.
GCUCUAGCUGAGAGCCCUGCAAGAACAUGGAGCCGUGGACGGCCCUCCUAAUAGGCAGAGGGGCAGGCCGCUGUUUAAGGAGGAGAGACAGAGGGGGAGGGUGACAGAGCUAAAGCAAAGGUCACUGUUAGCUGCUUUAUCUAGCCAGCUUGCUCUGAGGAGGCCGGGAGGCCAUGAUCUGGAGAAAACAAAUCCUUAGAGAAGAACGUUCUCUUCUCCUCGUUUUUCUACUCAGCCCGUGACUUCUCACCACUGCAAUUGUCUUCUCUCCUGACCUUGUUCUCCACCUUGCUGCCAGUUUACCCUGUGGAAUCACUGACUCAGUCAGUCAGCCUGUCCGUCGGUCAGUCCACACACAUAUAUACCAGGUGCUAGUGUCUGGGGGUGGACGCCAUUAAAUAAGCAGAUUAUAGUUUUCACUUAGUCUAAGGAAGAGUUUUCCAACAGUCAAUUCACGACUAAAAGGAGCUCGCCCUCCAUGAGGGAAAAGGCGUGACUGCUUGAACCAGCAACAGCCAGCUAGGAUGCUUCCGGAGGAUUCUUGCAUCAUGCGUGGCUUGGCUAAGCAUUGGAUGACUUAACCAUCUGUCUAGACUGAGCCGAAGGGGUGAGAAAAAGCGCAACGUGAAUUCUCUAGAGUGGAGACACCGUGGAGAGGAGACAGGGCCUGCGAUGAUGCUUCCUCUGAUAUGCCCAGGCCGUGGCUCGAUUCACCCCCCCAAAAAAGGCACGCGUCCUCCUCAACCAGAACGAAAGAGUGCUGUUCUAUAAAACUGCCGUUAAUCAGGGAGAAUUGACAAUGGAAAUGUCUGUCAGAAAGACCCUUCUUACGAUUGAGACCUAGCCUGUUGUAGGAGGUGAGGUAAUUUCUUCUCAAGCUUCUGGUAUCCAGGGAGAAAAAGGAACAACAAAACAAGGUCUGUUAAUAAAGGUGUGAGAGUCUCUGGGUAUUUUCUGUUAGUCGAGAGACCUCAAGGAAGGUUAAUUCUGGGCUGAAAGCAAACCUUUGUCGAGGAUUUCAUUUUAGAAGCUUCAAAAGACACCAGGGAGAGAGGGAGAACAAGAGGCAGGAAGAGGCAUGCACAGAAAGAGGGAGAGAGAUGAAGGGAGGGAGAAGCAAGAGAGCCUGGCCUUGCUGAGAUGUCACAGGAGAGAGUCACAGAUACAGGCUCCAGCAGUUUGAUCACUGGAAAAAUGUCUGUUAAGAGUGGAUGCAAUGGAAGAGAGAAAUUUCUGGAUUUAUUAUUUUUUUUAAAGGUGGGCCUUUGCCCCUGCUGCUCUGUUCACCUGGAAUGCCCUAUUCCUGUCCAGCUUUUAGCCUCUCUGUUCUAAAAGGGGCUCAGUUCAAAUGCCUCCUCCUCCAUGAAGACUUCCUGGGUAUCUCUAGUUACAUAUACAGUUGCUUCGUUUUCUGUAGGUCCCUAGCAGUUUUUUUCCAUUAUUUUUUUUUUAUAUCUAGUCAUGGCAAAAUACACAUAACAUAAAUUUUACCAUCUUAAACAUUUUUCAGCAUACAGUUCAAUACUGUUAAGUGUAGUUACAUUGGUGUGCAGCCAAUCUCCAGAACUUUUUCAUCUUGCAAAACUGGAACUCGGUACCCAUUAAGCAUCACCACCCCGUUCCACUGACCACCACCAUUCUACUUUUCAUCUCAAUGAAUCUGACUACUUUAGGUAGUCAAAUAAGUGAAAAUCAUAUGUGAAAUCAUACAGUAUUUGUCUUUUUGCGAUUAGCUUAUUUCACUUAGAAUAAUGUCCUUAAGGCUCAUUCAAGUUAGUUGCAUGUAUCCGGAUCUCCUUCAUUUUUCAGGAAUAUUAAUUUGAUUCUAUUUUUCUAAUGGCAUUUAUGACACGCGGCCUUAUUUUUAAGCAACAUUUGCACAUUAUACCUCUCUUGCAGAAUUCUAGAUCUUUGGAGGACAGGGUCUGAGUCUCCACACAGUUGAGUUCCACUGUACCUAUUAGCCCAGUGCUUGGCAGAGAAUUGGUGCUAAUUUAUUGAGAAGAUCACAGGACCCAUGCUCUUUGUCUUGAGUGGGCUCUUUAGAGCUCCCAGUCUCUCAAUAACCACAUCCCGCGAAAGACUCAACAGACGUUUAAACCUUUCCAUGUCAUCAAGCUGAGGUGAGCAGAAAGGGAUUGGCACCAACCAUUUGGGGCUGCUCUUACCCCACAGC